Non-coding RNA from Culicoides brevitarsis, 72 nucleotides. Lineage: Eukaryota; Metazoa; Arthropoda; Insecta; Diptera; Ceratopogonidae. The record is from the annotation of a RefSeq genome assembly.
GCUCCAAUGGCCAAGUGGUAAGGCGUCUGACUUGUAAUCAGAAGAUCGGUAGUUCGAUCCUGCCUUGGAGCA